This 465-nucleotide ribosomal RNA is filed under the name Vreelandella stevensii. RNAcentral's name for it is "partial 16S ribosomal RNA". It matches the Rfam family "Bacterial small subunit ribosomal RNA", at positions 338 to 795 of the family's 1533-position model. Lineage: Bacteria; Pseudomonadati; Pseudomonadota; Gammaproteobacteria; Oceanospirillales; Halomonadaceae. The record is from RNAcentral.
CCUACGGGCGGCAGCAGUGGGGAAUAUUGGACAAUGGGGGGAACCCUGAUCCAGCCAUGCCGCGUGUGUGAAGAAGGCCCUCGGGUUGUAAAGCACUUUCAGUGAGGAAGAACGCCUGGUGGUUAAUACCCAUCAGGAAAGACAUCACCCACAGAAGAAGCACCGGCUAACUCCGUGCCAGCAGCCGCGGUAAUACGGGGGGUGCGAGCGUUAAUCGGAAUUACUGGGCGUAAAGCGCGCGUAGGUGGCUUGAUAAGCCGGUUGUGAAAGCCCCGGGCUCAACCUGGGAACGGCAUCCGGAACUGUCAAGCUAGAGUGCAGGAGAGGAAGGUAGAAUUCCCGGUGUAGCGGUGAAAUGCGUAGAGAUCGGGAGGAAUACCAGUGGCGAAGGCGGCCUUCUGGACUGACACUGACACUGAGGUGCGAAAGCGUGGGUAGCAAACAGGAUUAGAUACCCGGGUAGUC